This 252-nucleotide ribosomal RNA is filed under the name uncultured bacterium. RNAcentral's name for it is "partial 16S ribosomal RNA". It matches the Rfam family "Bacterial small subunit ribosomal RNA", at positions 524 to 777 of the family's 1533-position model. The record is from RNAcentral.
UACGUAGGGUGCAAGCGUUAAUCGGAAUUACUGGGCGUAAAGCGUGCGCAGGCGGCUAUGCAAGACAGAUGUGAAAUCCCCGGGCUCAACCUGGGAACUGCAUUCGAGACUGCAAAGCUUGGGUGCGGAAGAGGGAAGCGGAAUUUCCGGUGUAGCGGUGAAAUGCGUAGAUAUCGGAAGAACAUCAGUGGCGAAAGCGGCUUCCUGGUCCAGCACCGACGUCAGGCACGAAAGCGUGGGGAGCAAACAGGG